RNAcentral lists this long non-coding RNA (766 nucleotides) under Homo sapiens (human). Its description in RNAcentral is "HSALNT0030075". The record is from RNAcentral. Lineage: Eukaryota; Metazoa; Chordata; Mammalia; Primates; Hominidae.
CUUUUACAGAUAUUUGGAUUUUAUUUUGGCAGACAGUUUAGCUACUUUUAGACCAACUUGAUUCUUUUGAGGUUUGUUUUUAGCACAGGUCUGCAGUAGCCUCAGUCUAGCCCUAAUACUUCUGGGGUCUUUUCUGAAUGCCCUGCUUGUUCUGAGAUUUCUACACCACAAUUGAAAGUGAAUUCAAAAAAGCUGGAGAGGAGACGCAUCAGGUCAGAAGGGAUUUGCUGCUCUGAACUGCCAGUUACACUGCACAAAAGUGGUUUCCUGAGAAGCUAAGGGAAGAGAAGACUUAGACAUUACUAGAACCCAUUCCUCAAGACACUGUAUUCAGACAGAGGUGAUUGCAUCCUUUGAAAGCCUGUUUGCAUAGCAGACAAUGAAGCUGAGCAGAGAAAAACAAGAUGAGAGACAGAUGGAGUAGGAGACCUGAGAAGAUGGCUUGAGUCCAUGAAUUCUGGUGUUCCCUAGGCCACAUUUGCCCCCAUCCUUCCCAGGUGAGAGAACCUUUGUGGGAGCGCAGAAGUCCAGCAGAGAGACCCUAGCACUUUAUUUGGACCAAAAAAUAAAUAAUAAAUAAAUAAAUAAAUAAAUCCAAAACUAGAUGCAUUAAAGAAGGUUAGACUUCUCCUAUGGAGAAUGCAGCAAGAAAAUACCAUCUUGAAGCAGAGAGCAGCGCUCAUCAGGCAUCAGUCCUUCUGGAGCCUUGAUCUUGGACCUCCCAGCUCCAAAAUAAUAAGUAAUAAAUUGUUAUUGCUUAUAAAUU